GGGGCGGUCCCGCCAGUCGGGCCUGGAUCCGCGUUGGCCCGCGGGCUCGGGUGAGCCCGCUCAAACGCCCCGGGAGCCACCGCCGCCUCCUCAGCGCCAGUCCUCAGCGCUGAAAAGACUCUUCCCUUCGUCGCCCAACCGCCCCUUCAGUAGGGACCGCCCCUCUUUUUGACACUGUCCAAUCCACAGUGGGCGCUUUCGUCCUCCCCGCCCUCGCCACCAAAGGAUCGUUCUCCAGGGCCAACAGUCGUACAAAAAGCCGGUGUAGGUAUGUCCGGCCAGAGGUAGACGGCCCGCGGGGCCAAUCGGAGUGCAGGCAGGGCAGCAGGCCCCGCCUCCGAAACAACAGAAAGCACUUGACAGGCUUGCUCUCCAAUGAGAAGCCCCGGAAAAGUGUCGCGCGGAGGCGGAGCCACGCGGUACAGCCACCUCUGCGCCUGCUCAAAGGCCCUGGACACUUGGAGUCUAGAUGGGGAAACUGACAUGAAGAGGAGUCCAAAGUGACACAGUCAGGCCAGAAAUGUUGCUUCUGAAGUCCUGAGUCCACCUCCUAGCACUGCCAAGCAGUCCACCUGGAGGUGAUGAGAACUUCCAGGCUUUGGUAAUGGACAACUCUGUAUCCCUGGAGCCUUCAUUCCUUUUGGCAUUACAGAACCACAAGAAGUCAUCUAGAAUCAUUGAGAUUCUCAACUCCAUUGGGCAAACUGGAACCAGCAAAAUCUCAGAUAUCUAGAAUUGCCACUGCUUCCUUGACUCUGUGAUCAGUCUACAGCCACAGAAUCCUGAUUCCCUUUGGACAUUCUAGAAUGGCACUUUAAAAAAAAACAACCCACCCAGUGGAUCCUUUCAAAGCACUGCUUAUUCUCUUGGCUGGGUGCUCUACAGCCAGAAGUUGGAGUUAUCUAAUAUCAAGAACUCUUAAUCUGUCACUUCAGUCUUUCUAAACCCACAGACUAACAAUGUUUUGUGCAUUCUAGAAA
This 980-nucleotide long non-coding RNA is filed under the name Homo sapiens (human). RNAcentral's name for it is "novel transcript, antisense to KCNJ14". Lineage: Eukaryota; Metazoa; Chordata; Mammalia; Primates; Hominidae. The record is from RNAcentral.